This 305-nucleotide ribosomal RNA is filed under the name uncultured bacterium. Its description in RNAcentral is "bacterial SSU rRNA". It matches the Rfam family "Bacterial small subunit ribosomal RNA", at positions 337 to 639 of the family's 1533-position model. The record is from RNAcentral.
ACCUACGGGGGGCAGCAGUGAGGAAUAUUGGUCAAUGGGCGCAAGCCUGAACCAGCCAAGUCGCGUGAGGGAAGACGGCCCUACGGGUUGUAAACCUCUUUUGCCGGGGAGCAAGCCUGAGCACGUGUGCCCAGGCGGAGAGUACCCGGAGAAAAAGCAUCGGCUAACUCCGUGCCAGCAGCCGCGGUAAUACGGAGGAUGCGAGCGUUAUCCGGAUUUAUUGGGUUUAAAGGGUGCGUAGGCGGUCCGUUAAGUCAGCGGUAAAAUUGCGGGGCUCAACCCCGUCGAGCCGUUGAAACUGGCAG